UCAGGACGAACGCUGGCGGCGUGCUUAACACAUGCAAGUCGAACGGACAGAUUUAGAGCUUGCUUUAAAUCUGUUAGUGGCGGACGGGUGAGUAACGCGUGGGUAACCUGCCUUAAACAGAGGGAUAGCAAGUGGAAACGCUUGGUAAUACCACAUAAAGCCUAAGCAUUGCAUAAUGAAUAGGUGAAAGGAGGAAUCCGGUUUAAGAUGGGCCCGCGUCCAAUUAGCUAGUUGGUGAGGUAAGAGCGCACCAAGGCGACGAUUGGUAGCCGAACUGAGAGGUUGAGCGGCCACAUUGGGACUGAGAUACGGCCCAGACUCCUACGGGAGGCAGCAGUGGGGAAUAUUGCGCAAUGGGGGGAACCCUGACGCAGCGACGCCGCGUGAAGGAAGAAGGUCUUCGGAUUGUAAACUUCUUUGAUUAGGGAAGAGGAAGGACGGUACCUAAAGAACAAGCCACGGCUAACUACGUGCCAGCAGCCGCGGUAAUACGAAGGUGGCAAGCGUUGUCCGGAAUUACUGGGUGUAAAGGGCGAGUAGGUGGAUCACUAAGUCAGAGGUGAAAACCCAUGGCUAAACUGUGGGAUAGCAACUGAAACUAGAGAUCUUGAGUACUGGAGAGGGAAGCGGAAUUCCUAGUGUAGCGGUGAAAUGUGUAGAUAUUAGGAGGAACACCAGUGGCGAAGGCGGCUUCCUGGACAGAGACUGACACUGAGGCGCGAAAGCGUGGGGAGCGAACAGGAUUAGAUACCCUGGUAGUCCACGCUGUAAACGAUGGAUACUAGGUGUAGGUGGUAAGAAACCAUCUGUGCCGGAGUAAACCCAAUAAGUAUCCCANCUGGGGAGUACAGGCGCAAGGUUGAAACUCACGCGAAUUGACGGGGUGCCCGCACAAGCAGUGGAGUAUGUGGUUUAAUUCGAAAGCAACGCGAAGAACCUUUA
Molecule: ribosomal RNA, 942 nt
Filed under: uncultured organism
Description: bacterial SSU rRNA
Rfam family: Bacterial small subunit ribosomal RNA
Source: RNAcentral